RNAcentral lists this ribosomal RNA (254 nucleotides) under uncultured bacterium. Its description in RNAcentral is "partial 16S ribosomal RNA". It matches the Rfam family "Bacterial small subunit ribosomal RNA", at positions 524 to 777 of the family's 1533-position model. The record is from RNAcentral.
UACGUAGGGGGCGAGCGUUAUCCGGAUUUACUGGGCGUAAAGCGCGUUAAGGCGGUCGGCAAAGUUGGUUGUGAAAUCUCAGGGCUCAACCCUGAAAUUGCGACCAAUACUGGUCGACUAGAGUGCAAGAGAGGAAGGUGGAAUUCCCGGUGUAGUAGUGAAAUGCGUAGAUAUCGGGAGGAACACCAGUGGCGAAGGCGGCCUUCUGGCUUGUAACUGACGCUGUAGCGCGAAAGCGUGGGGAGCGAACCGGG